UUCUAGCAGCCUUGACACUUAAAGUGAUAAAAAAAAAAUAAUUAGGAUAGUUGGGGUUUCAGACAUUCUGGGAAAGCUCAUAAGAAAUGCCUGGUGGGGAGCCUCGAGCAACCUAAGAUACAAGAAAGGUUGAGGAGCUUCAAGCCUGUUAGAAUUUAAAGCGGCAGGUUUCAGAAUUCCAAACGCUCCUUUAAAAAGCUGUGGUGUCUCUUUAAGAGCCAUUUGGUGCAUUUCAUAGCCUGAUUCAUGUCACCAGCUGCCUCUGAUUUCAGUGAGAAAUGCAGAAUUUAUAGGGAACUGUAAAAUGGGGACAGGUUUUUAGUUUUCUAAAUUGAGGUUUAACUGGCAAACUUCUGAACGCUCAAGAAACCACGAGCCGGGCUGUGGAGAACUGGUUUCUUUUCCUUUUAGAAGAAAUAAACACACAAACACAUUAUCUAACUCUCAAAGUGUUGCGAGAAAGAAAUCCUUGCUCUUUGCCGAGUAGGAAAAUGAAGAAUCAGCCUUGUGGGCAAGAGGAGGAGGAUCACAUUGGCCAGUAGGCAGCACCCUGUGCUGGCAGAGGGAGAAAUCUGAGCCUCAGCAGAGCCAGGAACAGUCUUUGUACAAACUCUCUGGUUUCAAGUUGCGAGUCUCCGGAGUCUCUGGGAAGGUGCCCCAGGGACGGGCUCCCUUUGCAGAGCCCUGAGGAUUGAUGAGAAUCCCCCAUCCCCAGCCACCCAGAGGGCAAGCAGGUCUGGUGUUUUCAGAUAGAGUUUGUUCAGAGCUCCUGAUUGUGCCUAGCCAAUGAGGGAGGACCACACAAUGUCACCAAAUUGCUAUCCAGAGCUCCUGAUUAUGUCCAGCCAAUGAGGAAUGACCACACAAUGUCACCAGAUCAGGACACAGCUGGGUACUGGGAGGAGGGUGUAUAAGGCUUUCCCCAUUACUGAAUAAAGGAGUCUGCUGUUUGCCUUUCA
This is a long non-coding RNA of Peromyscus leucopus (white-footed mouse), 959 nucleotides long. RefSeq lists it as uncharacterized. Lineage: Eukaryota; Metazoa; Chordata; Mammalia; Rodentia; Cricetidae. The transcript is spliced from 2 exons. The record is from RefSeq and is a predicted model, not a curated record.